UAUUUUAAUAAAAAAUCAUUCCUGAGAAGCUGUUGCUAUGAAACUUGCCAGUUCACAACAGAUGGCAGUAGAAUCUGUUCAGCGAGGGCCGCUCUGAAGCUCUCCACUCAAGCAUACCAUCAACAUUCCUCACAUGCCUCAGGCCCCGGCUUCAGGGCAACCUAGGCGGUAUCCACGGCGAUGGUGACACAUGCAGUCUCUCUCUGGACUCUUCUCAAGGUACGCCAAUCUACUGUUCUUCUCAAACCUGUGGCAGAGGAACUUAUCCUAAAAGUGACAACAAAUCAAUUUUGUCUGCUUCAGGGCUGAUUUUCAAAAGUUGGGGAAAUGUUUUAGAAAACAGUAGUUUUAAGUUGCAUUAGGCUACUUUCAAUUUAUACUUUCAAAAUGUUUUGUUUUGUGUGUCAUAUUGUUUAAGUCAAAACAUGAUCCACCCUGGAAUAGUAAUUGUACUUUUUUGAAAGCUGGGCCUAUAUUGUAAGUGUGGUAGGGCGGAUCCCUGCCUGGAAAAAAUAUGUUGGUGGUUGGUAGGGAUAGGGUUAAUUUCUGGGCCUGCUAGAUAAAUGUGUGUGGCUGUGUUUGCAUUAAAAACUUAAUUAGUGUCACCUGCCUGGGAUUAGCAGGCAGAUAUUUAAACAGGGGAAAAAAAUGUACGUUCUAGGCAGUCUGUGUGAAGACAAGAGGCUGUCAGUGAGGAGAGACCUGUGUGGUUUAAAUAGAAAAAAAAGAUCACGAUCUACUCUGUGGCAUGGUGAAGACAUAAAGAACACCCUGUUCAUCGAUUUGAAAAACCUGAUGACAGCAUUGUUCCAGCAGGAAACCCACAGUUUGAGCCCUGGCAGGCUGGGAUGAAUAGACAGCAUAUUGUAGUUUCUUCUGGCAAACGAUGAAACAAGGCAGUUAAGUCCUGCAAUCUAUUCCCAUUUAAAGUGAUCAGAACCAUGCACACAUUUGAAAACUAAUCUCCAGGCAUUGCAUUUUUACGUUGUGAGCAAGUCAGAUGGAUCCAGAUGGAAGAAGAUAUGAGACAUUUCAGUACAGGGCUGAUAGUAGGUCCUGGAGAACAGACUUUGCUACAGAUUUCCACCCAAACCUCCCUGAAGGAAUCAGAGGCAGCAAUCAUGGAGGAAUGACCAUGUAUCCCUCCAGAACAGCAGCUCUUGUUACACUGACAGUGUCGCAAUGGCUGGCUACCCAUGGUGGCUGUACAUCCUUUUUUUUUUUUGUCCAACUCCUGUACAAUUUUCAAAGGUGGCAAAAUGAGAACUAGGAUAUCUGAUACAGGCCCUCACUUGUGAUCUUAUUAAACAAGGGGUUACAAACAGUUCAACCGUUACAGUCCUUGUGAUAAACGGUACAUAUACAAUUUACUAGCAUCAAAAGCCUCAAUCCCCCUCAUUAUGCCUGCAGAUUCAACACUGUGUUACGAAUCAGAUCAAGCAGCCCGUGAUGUAGUGAAGAAGGCACCAGCAAACGAUCUCUUAAUGAAGUACAUGAUAAACAAAUAAACAAACUGCACUGAUGACCUGUAAAAGCGCUUACUGCUCAAUUAACCCAAUUAAACUUGUGCAACCCCUUGCUUGUCAUGUUA
Long non-coding RNA from Acipenser ruthenus (sterlet), 1591 nucleotides. RefSeq lists it as uncharacterized. The record is from RefSeq and is a predicted model, not a curated record. The transcript is spliced from 3 exons. NCBI's taxonomy places the organism in Eukaryota, Metazoa, Chordata, Actinopteri, Acipenseriformes, Acipenseridae.